UAUUUCCAACCAUAAAAUCAAUACCAGUUUCCAAUUGGUAUACAGUAGGUAUUUUGAAAUAAAAAGUUUUCCAUUGGGACUUAUGGUAACCAUUAAUUUCAAUAUUUAAUCCUUUUACUACCUUAGAAGUUUUAACUUCAGAUUUAUUUACAAUCUUAAGAUUUAAGAUUCUUUCAGAUGUUACCCAAAAUUGUUUUGGUAUAACCCAUUUACUUGCUGUGCAUACUGAAGCUCCAGUAUCAACAUAAGCAUGGAUAGUAAUCUUUCUAUAUCCUUCAAAUCUUAAUUUUAUAGGAAUAUAGAUAUAAUUAGGAUUUGUAAUAUUUUUACCACUCAUCGUCUAAUGAUUCUGUUUCUGAAUAUUCAGAUUUAGUUUCAGUAGUUAGAUAAUAUAAUGAUUCUGUAUCACUAGGUCUUCUACUGGGUA
This 427-nucleotide long non-coding RNA is filed under the name Olea europaea subsp. europaea. The record is from RNAcentral. Lineage: Eukaryota; Viridiplantae; Streptophyta; Magnoliopsida; Lamiales; Oleaceae.